RNAcentral lists this ribosomal RNA (464 nucleotides) under uncultured Geobacteraceae bacterium. RNAcentral's name for it is "partial 16S ribosomal RNA". It matches the Rfam family "Bacterial small subunit ribosomal RNA", at positions 338 to 794 of the family's 1533-position model. The record is from RNAcentral. Lineage: Bacteria; Pseudomonadati; Thermodesulfobacteriota; Desulfuromonadia; Geobacterales; Geobacteraceae.
CCUACGGGAGGCAGCAGUGGGGAAUUUUGCGCAAUGGGGGCAACCCUGACGCAGCAACGCCGCGUGAGUGAUGAAGGCCUUCGGGUCGUAAAGCUCUGUCAGAGGGGAAGAAAUGCAGGUGGUGACCAACCAUUCUGUUUGACGGUACCCUCAAAGGAAGCACCGGCUAACUCCGUGCCAGCAGCCGCGGUAAUACGGAGGGUGCGAGCGUUGUUCGGAAUUAUUGGGCGUAAAGCGCGUGUAGGCGGUUUGUUAAGUCGGAUGUAAAAGCCCCGGGCCCAACCUGGAAAGUGCAUUGGAUAAUGGCAGACUGGAGUACGGGAGAGGAGAGUGGAAUUCCCAGUGUAGGAGUGAAAUCCGUAGAUAUUGGGAGGAACACCGGUGGCGAGGGCGGCUCUCUGGACCGAUACUGACGCUGAGCCGCGAAAGCGGGGGGAGCAAACAGGAUUAGAUACCCCUGUAGU